Molecule: ribosomal RNA, 248 nt
Filed under: uncultured bacterium
Lineage: Bacteria
Description: partial small subunit ribosomal RNA
Rfam family: Bacterial small subunit ribosomal RNA
Source: RNAcentral
AGAAUCAACGCUGGCGGCGUGCCUAACACAUGCAAGUCGCACGAAGGAAAGGGGAGCAACUCCCUGAGUAAAGUGGCGCACGGGUGAGUAACACGUGAAUAAUCUACCUCCGAGUGGGGAAUAACUGAGAGAAAUCUUAGCUAAUACCGCAUAACACUUACGAGUCAAAGCAGCAAUGCGCUUGGAGAGGAGUUCGCGGCCGAUUAGUUAGUUGGCGGGGUAAUGGCCCACCAAGACGAUGAUCGGUA